CCUACGGGUGACAGCAGUGAGGAAUAUUGGUCAUUGGACGCAAGUCUGAACCAGCCAUGCCGCGUGCAGGAAGACGGCUCUAUGAGUUGUAAACUGCUUUUGUACGAGGGUAAACGCAGAUACGCGUAUCUGUCUGCAAGUAUCGUACGAAUAAGGAUCGGCUAACUCCGUGCCAGCAGCCGCGGUUAUACGGAGGAUUCAAGCGUUAUCCGGAUUUAUUGGGUUUAAAGGGUGCGUAGGCGGUCGGAUAAGUUAGAGGUGAAAUCCCGAGGCUCAACUUCGGAAUUGCCUCUGAUACUGUUCGGCUAGAGAGUAGUUGCGGUAGGCGGAAUGUAUGGUGUAGCGGUGAAAUGCUUAGAGAUCAUACAGAACACCGAUUGCGAAGGCAGCUUACCAAGCUACUUCUGACGUUGAGGCACGAAAGCGUGGGGAGCAAACAGGAUUAGAUACCCUAGUAGUC
Molecule: ribosomal RNA, 460 nt
Filed under: uncultured bacterium
Lineage: Bacteria
Description: partial 16S ribosomal RNA
Rfam family: Bacterial small subunit ribosomal RNA
Source: RNAcentral